ACAAACACAAACAAAAACACAUAUGAGUCAGUAGCAUAUAAUUAUCGCAUGAAUACUUAAAAGUCACACUAAAAAAAUAUUUAUGUCUAAAUUUAAGAUUGAUGUAUUUCAAUUGCUUUUAAAAUUUCCAUGUAUUUGGAUUACACAGUUUAACAAUCUAAUAUUAGUUUGUUAAAACUGUCUAAUAUCUUACUGUGUUAUUUAUGUAUGACUGACAGAUAUGGCUCACAUUAAGUUUAUUUGUUCGUUAAAACUGGUUCAACUAAUCCAAAUGGAUGGAAAUUUUAUAUGCAAUUUAAAUGGAUAUAUCUUAAAUAUUUUUUGAGUGCAUACAGGUUUGGAAAUGAUGACAGAAAUUUAAUUUUUUGGGUGAGUUGUCCCUUUAGAUCAGCACUUUUUUUUUUUUUUUUUUUUUUUAAGCAGUGGUUGGCGGUAAACUGUCUCCAGUCAGGCUAGUGUUCUCUCUCUCAGCUGUCUGUCUCCAGCCAGUUAAAUAUAAACAGCCGUUAACUGGCCCUUUCCUCUAGAUUAUGUAUAUCCCCCCUACCCCCUUCUGUUUGAGUCCGAGAUCCGUUCUCAGGCCUUCCUAUUUCCUUUUCAAAACCACAGUAAAACUCACACUUACUUCAAGUCGAUGGUGACGCUAAAGUUACAAUAACAAUACAGUGAUCAGAUCAGAGCCUGUGCAUUAGCGCUGCUACUGUCAGCACACGUGACUGAUCCACUUGAGGUUUGUACUAUUAAAACCACUAAACGCAACUGCUGUGAAAGUGUUAUAAAGGUAAAGUCUGCGGUUGGUGCUUAUGCUCAUCCCCACAGAGAUUAGUUGUAAAGUCUGCAGUAAUGAAGUGUUUGUUGAAGAGCUGGGUGUGUGCAGUAGAGUAGGAAGCCUCUGGAUAAAUAGUCAGGCCAGUAGCAUGGCUAAACUUAGGAUAGCUGCUGAAACUUCUCACAAGGUCCUGCCGGAACAGACCAGACCAGACCACACACACACACACACACACACACACACACACACAACACACACACACUGAGUCAAAUGGUGAUUUGGUCACAGAUAAAAGGGUUAAAGACAAAAUAAAUAAAAUAAAUAAAUAAAAAUAAUAAAGACAAAAAAAUAAAUAAAUAAAAAUAAACAUAUGAAACCUCUUAACAUAAAAAAAAAAAAAAAAAAAAAAAAAAAAAAAAAAAAGACAAAUAAAGAGGAAGACCCACUCCCCCCAACAUAUAAAUUAAUUAAAUGAGACAGUGAAUCAUGAGCUUCCCAAUGGGAAUUCCGGAAUGUUCAUUAUUUCCGGCCAAGCGGUACAUUUCAAGGAAGGAAGGAGGGGGAAAAAAAGAAAGAAUGCAAAAAAGGCAAGAAAAGAAUGUCAAACAAAGCAGGAAAGAAAGUAGCAAAGAAAGGAAGUUUAAAAGAAAAAAAAAGGCAAUGGAAGGAAUAAAGAAAGUACUGAAAAAUAAAGCAGGAAAGAAAGAAAGAAAGAAAGAAAGAAAGAAAGAAAGAAAGAGGCCAACAAAAACAAAAGGAAAGGAAGAAUCAUAAAAGAAAGAAACUGGGAAAGACAGGAAGAAAGUUGGAAAGAUGAAAGGAAGGAAUUAAGAAAUUGGGGAAAAAGUGGAAAAGGAAGAAAAUGGGACAAAAAGAAAGCCAGCGGGAAAGAAUGGAAGGAAGCGAAAAGAAAAAAAAGAACAAAAGGAAAAUCAAAGUGGCAAACAAAGCAGUAAAGAAAGAGGCAAACAAAGCGUGAAAGGAAGAAUCAUAAAACAAAGAAACUGGGGACGGCAGGAAAAAAGUUGAAAAGAAAAAAGGAAGGAAUUAAGAAAGUGGGGAAAAACAAAGCAGAAAAGGAAGAAAAUUUGACAAAAAGGAAGGAAGAAUGGAAGGAAGCAAUUCAAGCAAAAUGAAAGAAAGGAAGUUUAUAUGAAAUGAAAG
Long non-coding RNA from Ctenopharyngodon idella (grass carp), 1933 nucleotides. RefSeq lists it as uncharacterized. The transcript has 2 exons. Lineage: Eukaryota; Metazoa; Chordata; Actinopteri; Cypriniformes; Xenocyprididae. The record is from RefSeq and is a predicted model, not a curated record.